This is a long non-coding RNA of Engraulis encrasicolus (European anchovy), 910 nucleotides long. RefSeq lists it as uncharacterized. The record is from RefSeq and is a predicted model, not a curated record. NCBI's taxonomy places the organism in Eukaryota, Metazoa, Chordata, Actinopteri, Clupeiformes, Engraulidae. The transcript has 5 exons.
GUGGGCCAGCUCCGGGGCUCCACUGCCAACAGUGGCAGUGGUCCAAGAACCGUUGGGCGAAGGGUGCUUCGGCCGUCUGGGAAGGCUGUUUGGGGCAGUUGCAUGGACAUGGAAACCGGCUGAGGGAUUCCUGAGUGUCGGGAGGGGAAUGGGGGCAGUGCCACGCCGGGCCUCCAGGGGAGAUGGGACUACCAGGAUCUCCCAGACCCACAGACAGGGUUUGCUGCCGCAGCGUGUGCGUGUACACCGGAACUCAGAAGGGAGGUGGGACUGCCAUGAUCUCCUGGAUGCACAGAAGAGAGGGGCUUCGUCAGGAGUGUAGGUGACACUGGACCACUGGAACCAGGCGAAUGACCAGGCCCUGCAGCUGAUCAAGGGCCUAAAGGCGCACAGGGAGCCAAAGGGGUCAAAGGAGAAGAGGGACCCGCAGGACAACAGGGUAUCCAAGGAGAGCCAGAGAAGAGGGGAAACUGUGGAUUUCCAGGCGCUCGAGGACCCAGUGGACAAAAGAUGUUCUACACUGGAGCUGAAAUGAACCCUGUCAUAUCCUUCGCUCCUGCUACGUUCAAGAGGAACUCCAUGAACCACUGGGUAAGAAAAAUAUAUACAAAUUAUGCAUAAAAAAAACAUGCUCAUAGUCUCGCAUUGUUUGUAAACUACUUUCAAUUCAGAUAUAAUAGAUGUAAUAGUGUUACAUUGUUUAAGCCUUUUACAGAAUGCGCAAUGCACUGCAUGUAUUUCUCAGCUGCUCACAUGUAACUAUAAUAUGGUUUCUGUUCUUCCCUCCUCGUGCCUGCGCCCGUCGGUCCGUGUCUCCGUCCAGCCGGCUGUGCGUGCAUCCGUCUCUGCGUCCGUGCCUACGUCUGGCCGGCAGUGCGUCCGUCCGUGCGUCAGUCUGUCUGUGCGUCCG